RNAcentral lists this unclassified non-coding RNA (212 nucleotides) under Hevea brasiliensis (rubber tree). Lineage: Eukaryota; Viridiplantae; Streptophyta; Magnoliopsida; Malpighiales; Euphorbiaceae. The record is from RNAcentral.
GCUCAAUACCAGUGGUGAGGGAGAGCUUGCUUUUUAUAGUCCAGUGAGAGUUUGUAACCUGCCUCGGGUUACGAGUGGCUUGAAGAAAAAUUUGGAUGGUACUCGUGCUACUUGAGAUUCAUGGGAAGGAUGGAGCUUCGAUUUUGUAAGCCCAAAGGUACUCGUGCUACCUAAAUGUUUUUAUUUUCCUGUUUUGGUUGUCGGUUUGAUUU